CCCUUAGAUGUUCUGGGCUGCACGCGCGCUACACUGAAGCUAUCAACACGUUUUCCCUCCCUGAGAAGGGCGGGUAACCUUUUGAAUCAGCUUCGUGGUAGGGAUCGGGGCUUGCAAUUGUUCCCCGUGAACCAGGAAUUCCUAGUAGACGCGAGUCAUAAGCUCGCAUCGAUUAAGUCCCUGCCCUUUGUACACACCGCCCGUCGCUACUACCGAUUGAACGUUUUAGUGAGGCAUUUGGACCGACGCAUCUCAGUUUAACCGCUGGUUUGUGUUGGAACGACUUCCAAACUUGAGCGUUUAGAGGAAGUAAAAGUCGUAACA
RNAcentral lists this ribosomal RNA (324 nucleotides) under uncultured eukaryote. Its description in RNAcentral is "partial 18S ribosomal RNA". It matches the Rfam family "Eukaryotic small subunit ribosomal RNA", at positions 1470 to 1796 of the family's 1831-position model. The record is from RNAcentral.